GGCAGUUGUGGAUUGUUUGUCCAGAGAUGUGUUAAGAUGAGCUCUGCAUGGAGAGUCCCAAUGCUUACAUUUUGGCUCAUUUCACCAAUAAUUCCAGCAUCAGCUCCAGGAUAUCACACAGCCCAGAGUGACUUCAGACUCACUAUGCAGCUGAGGAUGACAGUGAGCUCCCACCCGUCCUGUUCCUCCCCGUGUGUACUGACAGCAGACAGGGCCAUCACAGCAGGUUUAUGCAAUGCUGGGGACGGAACCCUGGAUUCCAUGCAUGCUAAGCCAGCACACUACCAAACGAGCUACAUCUCCAGUCCCUCUUUCUUCUCUUAGCAACUAAGUAAUAAAAAAUAAAACAUGUUUUAAAUGCAUAUAUAUAUAUAUA
This 376-nucleotide long non-coding RNA is filed under the name Cricetulus griseus (Chinese hamster). RNAcentral describes it as "lncRNA (ENSCGRG00015033663.1)". The record is from RNAcentral. Lineage: Eukaryota; Metazoa; Chordata; Mammalia; Rodentia; Cricetidae.